GACGAACGCUGGCGGCGUGCUUAACACAUGCAAGUCGAACGGAAAGGCCCUGCUUUUGUGGGGUGCUCGAGUGACGAACGGGUGAGUAACACGUGAGUAACCUGCCCUUGACUUUGGGAUAACUUCAGGAAACUGGGGCUAAUACCGGAUAGGAGCUCCUGCUGCAUGGUGGGGGUUGGAAAGUUUCGGCGGUUGGGGAUGGACUCGCGGCUUAUCAGCUUGUUGGUGGGGUAGUGGCUUACCAAGGCUUUGACGGGUAGCCGGCCUGAGAGGGUGACCGGCCACAUUGGGACUGAGAUACGGCCCAGACUCCUACGGGAGGCAGCAGUGGGGAAUAUUGCACAAUGGGCGGAAGCCUGAUGCAGCAACGCCGCGUGCGGGAUGACGGCCUUCGGGUUGUAAACCGCUUUCGCCUGUGACGAAGCGUGAGUGACGGUAAUGGGUAAAGAAGCACCGGCUAACUACGUGCCAGCAGCCGCGGUGAUACGUAGGGUGCGAGCGUUGUCCGGAUUUAUUGGGCGUAAAGGGCUCGUAGGUGGUUGAUCGCGUCGGAAGUGUAAUCUUGGGGCUUAACCCUGAGCGUGCUUUCGAUACGGGUUGACUUGAGGAAGGUAGGGGAGAAUGGAAUUCCUGGUGGAGCGGUGGAAUGCGCAGAUAUCAGGAGGAACACCAGUGGCGAAGGCGGUUCUCUGGGCCUUUCCUGACGCUGAGGAGCGAAAGCGUGGGGAGCGAACAGGCUUAGAUACCCUGGUAGUCCACGCUGUAAACGGUGGGUACUAGGUGUGGGGUCCAUUCCACGGGUUCCGUGCCGUAGCUAACGCUUUAAGUACCCCGCCUGGGGAGUACGGCCGCAAGGCUAAAACUCAAAGGAAUUGACGGGGCCCCGCACAAGCGGCGGAGCAUGCGGAUUAAUUCGAUGCAACGCGUAGAACCUUACCUGGGUUUGACAUGGAUCGGGAGCGCUCAGAGAUGGGUGUGCCUCUUUUGGGGUCGGUUCACAGGUGGUGCAUGGCUGUCGUCAGCUCGUGUCGUGAGAUGUUGGGUUAAGUCCCGCAACGAGCGCAACCCUUGUUCACUGUUGCCAGCACGUUAUGGUGGGGACUCAGUGGAGACCGCCGGGGUCAACUCGGAGGAAGGUGGGGAUGACGUCAGGUCAUCAUGCCCCUUAUGUCCAGGGCUUCACGCAUGCUACAAUGGCUGGUACAGAGAGUGGCGAGCCUGUGAGGGUGAGCGAAUCUCGGAAAGCCGGUCUCAGUUCGGAUUGGGGUCUGCAACUCGACCUCAUGAAGUCGGAGUCGCUAGUAAUCGCAGAUCAGCAACGCUGCGGUGAAUACGUUCCCGGGGCU
RNAcentral lists this ribosomal RNA (1346 nucleotides) under uncultured bacterium. RNAcentral describes it as "bacterial SSU rRNA". It matches the Rfam family "Bacterial small subunit ribosomal RNA", at positions 28 to 1381 of the family's 1533-position model. The record is from RNAcentral.